Molecule: non-coding RNA, 347 nt
Organism: Salmo salar (Atlantic salmon)
Lineage: Eukaryota; Metazoa; Chordata; Actinopteri; Salmoniformes; Salmonidae
Source: RefSeq, a predicted model, not a curated record
GGUCAGUUUCCACCUGUUGCAGUCCCUCAGACAGCAACAUGACACCAGAGAGAGAGGGGGAGUGGGAGGAGAGAAGAGAGUACAUACCAGCUGUGACAGCAGUAAAUGACGAUAGUUUCUGAUCGAAACUCCAUAUUUGAGUCCAAUCCCAUCAACAUCGGCAGCAGCAUCAAAAUCAAGCUCAGCACCAGGAACUAGUACUAAUCCUAAUGUUGAUGACGAUGACCUUGACACGAGCUUUAGUAGUGCAGAGCCUGUAGACCCACUGGAUGAAAGCUUUCAGCCUGGAAAAAUCUCAAGCUCAACAUCAUCGGACUUUGAAACAAGCCAGGACAGCCAAAGGUAUU